GGAGGGGUACCCGAGUGGCCAAAGGGGGCAGACUGUAAAUCUGCUGGCUCACGCCUACGUAGGUUCGAAUCCUACCCCCUCCACCA
RNAcentral lists this transfer RNA (86 nucleotides) under Gammaproteobacteria bacterium. RNAcentral's name for it is "tRNA-Tyr". It matches the Rfam family "tRNA". Rfam says of the family: Transfer RNA (tRNA) molecules are approximately 80 nucleotides in length. Their secondary structure includes four short double-helical elements and three loops (D, anti-codon, and T loops). Further hydrogen bonds mediate the characteristic L-shaped molecular structure. tRNAs have two regions of fundamental functional importance: the anti-codon, which is responsible for specific mRNA codon recognition, and the 3' end, to which the tRNAs corresponding amino acid is attached (by aminoacyl-tRNA synthetases). tRNAs cope with the degeneracy of the genetic code in two manners: having more than one tRNA (with a specific anti-codon) for a particular amino acid; and 'wobble' base-pairing, i.e. permitting non-standard base-pairing at the 3rd anti-codon position. The record is from RNAcentral. Lineage: Bacteria; Pseudomonadati; Pseudomonadota; Gammaproteobacteria.